This 253-nucleotide ribosomal RNA is filed under the name uncultured bacterium. RNAcentral describes it as "partial 16S ribosomal RNA". It matches the Rfam family "Bacterial small subunit ribosomal RNA", at positions 524 to 776 of the family's 1533-position model. The record is from RNAcentral.
GACAGAGGUCCCGAGCGUUAGGCGGAAUCACUGGGCUUAAAGCGUGUGUAGGCGGACUUCUAAGUACCUUGUGAAAUCCCACGGCUCAACCGUGGAACUGCUUGGUAUACUGGUUGUCUUGGGCCAUCUAGGGGCGAGCGGAACAAACGGUGGAGCGGUGAAAUGCGUAGAUAUCUGGAGGAACACCGGUGGCGAAGGCGGCAUCCUGGACCAACACUGACACUGAGGAGCGAAAGCCAGGGGAGCAAACGGG